RNAcentral lists this ribosomal RNA (301 nucleotides) under uncultured bacterium. Its description in RNAcentral is "partial 16S ribosomal RNA". It matches the Rfam family "Bacterial small subunit ribosomal RNA", at positions 509 to 808 of the family's 1533-position model. The record is from RNAcentral.
CAGCCGCCGCGGUAAUACGUAGGUGGCAAGCGUUGUCCGGAAUUAUUGGGCGUAAAGGGCUCGCAGGCGGUUUCUUAAGUCUGAUGUGAAAGCCCCCGGCUCAACCGGGGAGGGUCAUUGGAAACUGGGAAACUUGAGUGCAGAAGAGGAGAGUGGAAUUCCACGUGUAGCGGUGAAAUGCGUAGAGAUGUGGAGGAGCACCAGUGGCGAAGGCGACUCUCUGGUCUGUAACUGACGCUGAGGAGCGAAAGCGUGGGGAGCGAACAGGAUUAGAUACUCCAGUAGUCCCUGUCUCUUAACA